GACGAACGCUGGCGGCGUGCUUAACACAUGCAAGUCGAACGGAAAGGCCCUGCUUGCAGGGUACUCGAGUGGCGAACGGGUGAGUAACACGUGGGUGAUCUGCCCUGCACUUCGGGAUAAGCCUGGGAAACUGGGUCUAAUACCGGAUAGGAGCCAUUUUUAGUGUGAUGGUUGGAAAGUUUUUUCGGUGUAGGAUGAGCUCGCGGCCUAUCAGCUUGUUGGUGGGGUAAUGGCCUACCAAGGCGGCGACGGGUAGCCGGCCUGAGAGGGUGGACGGCCACAUUGGGACUGAGAUACGGCCCAGACUCCUACGGGACGCAGCAGUGGGGAAUAUUGCACAAUGGGCGCAAGCCUGAUGCAGCGACGCCGCGUGGGGGAUGACGGCCUUCGGGUUGUAAACUCCUUUCGCUAGGGACGAAGCUUUUUGUGACGGUACCUAGAUAAGAAGCACCGGCUAACUACGUG
This 465-nucleotide ribosomal RNA is filed under the name uncultured bacterium. RNAcentral's name for it is "partial 16S ribosomal RNA". It matches the Rfam family "Bacterial small subunit ribosomal RNA", at positions 28 to 507 of the family's 1533-position model. The record is from RNAcentral.